This 84-nucleotide small nucleolar RNA is filed under the name Capsicum annuum. Lineage: Eukaryota; Viridiplantae; Streptophyta; Magnoliopsida; Solanales; Solanaceae. The record is from RNAcentral.
UGCAAUCAGUGAUAAUUUUUUCCAUAAUUAUUGAUUGAAUAGUGAUUAAUACAAAAAUAUCACCAUCUUUCGGCUGAGAUUGCA